GACAGUGGCUCAGGAGGUACAGCAGUUGACUGGGGGUCAGAAGGUCCCUAGUUCGAAUCUGGCUCCUCCUGGCA
This is a non-coding RNA of Megalops atlanticus (tarpon), 74 nucleotides long. NCBI's taxonomy places the organism in Eukaryota, Metazoa, Chordata, Actinopteri, Elopiformes, Megalopidae. The record is from the annotation of a GenBank genome assembly.